AUUGAACGCUGGCGGCAUGCUUUACACAUGCAAGUCGAACGGUAACAGGUUAAGCUGACGAGUGGCGAACGGGUGAGUAAUGCAUCGGAACGUGCCCGAUCGUGGGGGAUAACACUUCGAAAGAAGUGCUAAUACCGCAUACGAUCUGAGGAUGAAAGCGGGGGACCGUAAGGCCUCGCGCGAUCGGAGCGGCCGAUGUCAGAUUAGGUAGUUGGUGGGGUAAAGCUCACCAAGCCGACGAUCUGUAGCUGGUCUGAGAGGACGACCAGCCACACUGGGAUUGAGACUCGGCCCAGACUCCUACGGGAGGCAGCAGUGGGGAAUUUUGGACAAUGGGCGCAAGCCUGAUCCAGCAAUGCCGCGUGCAGGAAGAAGGCCUUCGGGUUGUAAACUGCUUUUGUACGGAGCGAAAAGGCUCCCUCUAAUACAGGGGGCUCAUGACGGUACCGUAAGAAUAAGCACCGGCUAACUACGUGCCAGCCGCCGCCGUAA
This 492-nucleotide ribosomal RNA is filed under the name uncultured bacterium. RNAcentral's name for it is "partial 16S ribosomal RNA". It matches the Rfam family "Bacterial small subunit ribosomal RNA", at positions 30 to 523 of the family's 1533-position model. The record is from RNAcentral.